Molecule: ribosomal RNA, 253 nt
Filed under: uncultured bacterium
Lineage: Bacteria
Description: partial 16S ribosomal RNA
Rfam family: Bacterial small subunit ribosomal RNA
Source: RNAcentral
UACGGAGGGGGCUAGCGUUGUUCGGAACUACUGGGCGUAAAGCGCGCGUAGGCGGCUUUGUAAGUUAGAGGUGAAAGCCCGAAGCUCAACUUCGGAAUUGCCUUUAAGACUGCAUCGCUAGAAUUGUGGAGAGGUAAGUGGAAUUCCGAGUGUAGAGGUGAAAUUCGUAGAUAUUCGGAAGAACACCAGUGGCGAAGGCGACUUACUGGACACAUAUUGACGCUGAGGUGCGAAAGCGUGGGGAGCAAACAGG